GGGCUGUGUGUCGGACAGCAGCGACAUCCACAGCGCCUGUCUGACACACAGCCAGCGGGAAAAGCUCUCCGCAGAGCAAAUCAAAAUGUUUUUACAAAAAGUCAAAAAUAGGAGGAAUCUGAAAAUCGAGGAGUUUUUCCCAGACCUGGUGUGUUUUUAUUACUCAGCCAGACUCCGCAUGAGCCAGCGAGAGGAGUCUGGCUUCACAGAUCAAGAGGGUUUUAGACUGAAAAAACUUGUGCUAAAAGCAAAACGAGCAAUCGAUGAUCACGAAAAAAGCCCCAAUGUGUGUUUUAAUUGAUUUAUUGGUUUUAUUUUUAUUUUUUAUCAUGGAUACUUUAAAAGUGGGAAGCCUGAAUGUGAACGGAGCCAGAGAUGCCAAGAAGAGGGCAUCUAUUUAUGAAUUUUAAAAAAUGAAACGUCUUGAUGUUCUCUUCGUGCAAGAGACGCACAGCGACAGCACCAACGAGGCCGACUGGAGGAGGGAGUGGGAAGGGGAAGUCCUGCUGAGCCACAACACCAACCUCAGUGGAGGAGUGGGCUUCCUCUUCUCCAGAAGAUGCGACCAUAGACCGCAACCACGCAGAGCCACAUCCAGCUUCCCAGCACGCUCUGAGGCAGCUGGUCCAGUCUCAUGGCCUGGUGGAUGUGUGGAGAAGGAUGCAUGCAGACUGCCGACAGUACACGUGGUCCCACCUCAGAGAAGCACACUUUCAACGUGACCAGAGACAUCACCAGAUCUAUGAAGGACCUGGAGACC
Long non-coding RNA from Gasterosteus aculeatus aculeatus (three-spined stickleback), 760 nucleotides. The record is from Ensembl. NCBI's taxonomy places the organism in Eukaryota, Metazoa, Chordata, Actinopteri, Perciformes, Gasterosteidae.